UACGUAGGGUGCGAGCGUUAAUCGGAAUUACUGGGCGUAAAGCGCGCGCAGGCGGCUAUCCAAGUCAGUGGUGAAAGCCCGGAGCUCAACUCCGGAACUGCCAUUGAAACUGUUUAGCUUGAGGACGAGAGAGGUGAGUGGAAUUCCCAGUGUAGAGGUGAAAUUCGUAGAUAUUGGGAAGAACACCGGUGGCGAAGGCGGCUCACUGGCUCGUUUCUGACGCUCAGGCGCGACAGCGUGGGGAUCAAACAGG
RNAcentral lists this ribosomal RNA (253 nucleotides) under uncultured bacterium. Its description in RNAcentral is "partial 16S ribosomal RNA". It matches the Rfam family "Bacterial small subunit ribosomal RNA", at positions 524 to 776 of the family's 1533-position model. The record is from RNAcentral.